UUCUAACGAGCUGCGAACGUCGACGGUACUCGUAACCGGUAGCUCAGCCUCGGAAAUGGCAGAGGGGGCGGUUCGUGGUCGAGGAUAGAGGAUCGUUUGGAGAAUUUAUUCACUACUGCCG
This is a long non-coding RNA of Trachymyrmex septentrionalis, 121 nucleotides long. RefSeq lists it as uncharacterized. Lineage: Eukaryota; Metazoa; Arthropoda; Insecta; Hymenoptera; Formicidae. The record is from RefSeq and is a predicted model, not a curated record. The transcript has 3 exons.